AGGGGGAGUAACAAUCCGGAAACGGGAAUCUAAAACCGCAUAGGUCUUCGAGCUGCAUGGCUUGAAGAGGAAAAGAGGCGCAAGCUUCUGCUGAUGGAUGGGCCCGCGGUGCAUUAGCUAGUUGGUGAGGUAACGGCUCACCAAGGCCGUGAUGCAUAGCCGACCUGAGAGGGUGAUCGGCCACAUUGGGACUGAGACACGGCCCAA
Molecule: ribosomal RNA, 207 nt
Filed under: uncultured bacterium
Lineage: Bacteria
Description: partial 16S ribosomal RNA
Rfam family: Bacterial small subunit ribosomal RNA
Source: RNAcentral